GCGCAUUUAAAUCAACACAUGUAUCUACAAUCUACACAAUAUAAAACGCUUAAGCGGAAAUAUAGUUACAUAUUGAUUUGUGUGUAACAAUUAGCUGACUCUGUAAAUAGUUUUAAAAAACGACAGAAUAUGAUUCUUGUAUGUAAUAGAAAGUGCUGACGUCAACCGAAUAUUCUGGUGUGUGAUGUCAUCUUCAGCUGCUUAUUAGUUCUAUUGAUUUUAACAGUUUGUAGAAACCAUUAAAUCAGCUGAUCCAGAGAGGUAAGAUCAUAUGCUUUUUGAAAAAUCAUAUUUUACAUACUACAUGUACAUUGUAUGUCUGAAAUUAACUAGCUAGUAUCCUUUAUAAAUUACGUUAAGGAACAGUACACAUGUGUAAGUAAGUAUCAUUGUUUCCAUCUAAUUGUUAUUGCUACAACUUGUGCGUCUGUAAUGUAUGUAUUGUGUAAAUGUGUACUUAUAUGGAGUAAGUAUUGAUACAAGAGAUAGUUUUGAAGGGACAUUACUCAGAAGUAUAACAGCAGAAGACUCAACGAUUGGGACGACGACGGUUGCAAGGGAUGAGGGUCACGACCUUGACUACCCUUGCGCGGCCAGCCCUUCCGAUUGUAUUGAAGUAAAAAAAGGAAAGUAAUAUAUGUAAUCAAUGACAUUUAUCAUGUGGUCUUUAACAAUGGAAAAUAGUUGACAUAAGACAAUUUGUAUAAUAGAAAGUAUAGAGAGUUCUAGCUUGUACUCAUCACUAAAAUGAAUAAAGGGAAAAUAACCAUACUUUGAAAUGCCAAACAAAUCCCAAAAAAUCGGAAAAAAUUAAAUGAGUUUAAAAUAUGUAAUAUGCUGGCAGACAGUAACAUGAUUUGGUUCUUAUCAGAAUGAGCAUUCCCUUUCUAUUUAUUUUUAUAUUUGUUAUGUUUUAUUGAAAGGGGCAUUAUAGGUACGAUUUAGACACAUCUUAAAAUUAAACUUUUUAGAACAUUUAUAAAAGCGCGGAAUAUUGAAGAAUGUUUCGCUAUUCGAUGUAAAUUUGAUUCACUUUUGUCAAGUAAGCUCAAAGUUAUUGCUGUUGAAUUAUUGGCUUGCAAGUACGUGACAAUAAACCUGGGAAUAGUAUGCUGACAAUAAAAUUAUUAUACCCCAUGAUAAAUCCAUUAAUUCUGUUAAAAUUAUUUAUCUCAGAUCGAAAAACAGAAAAAUAAGUAAAGCUAACUUGCUGCAGACUUGCAGCGUACACAGAGUCUGUAUUUGCGGCAUGUUUGCUGCAAAUACGGGGAGAAAUUUAUAAUUUUCAUGUGAAUUUGCUGCAGGUCUGCUAGAAACAAUUUAUCGUGCAAAUGAGGGUUUGCUGCAGACCUGCGGCAAACAUUUAUAUUCGAAUUAAGCUUUCUCCUGCGUGUUUGCUGCACACUUGCAGGAACUACAUACAUUAUACAAUUAGCUAAUGUCAUGCUGUGUACACACCACAUUAUCUAUAUGACAAAAAAGAUUGUGAAAAAGUUAGGUAACAUACAUACAUACAAUAUUCAAAUACUUUAUCAUUUGCAAAAUACAAAGAUAUAUGACGCUCUUAAUUUUGAUCACGAGAAACAUUUGUUUUGUUGUUGUUCGAGUACGUGAUCGAAUUACAUGCAUGGAUAUCUAAAAUACAAAAAAAAGUGUAUUUGUGGAGGGGACGAAUUUCAUAUGUUUACACUUGAAUUUAUACUUACAAAUAAUGUCUUUAAAACUAGAAUUUUAAUUUCCAACUUUAAAUGCUCCCUGAAAACUAAUACAUUGUAUGAUAACAUGACUCAAACACCUUCAAUAUUCAAAUUUCAAAUAUUUAUCUUCCAGGCAAUUACCAAUAGGCAUGCUUUGUCAAUUUAUGUAGUUCUUGCAAUGCUCUUGCAAACAUAUAGAAUUGUCAAAGAUUUCUGCAAUCUAGCUUAUCCCUUAUAUUCUAGAUUUUCCUUCAAGUGUACUGAAAACAUAAUUGUUUCUGCAAACUUGUCGCAAGCUUGCAGCAAAAUGCUGCAAUGUUUGCAUGAGGUUCGCAGUCACUGCAAACAUUACUCAAAGGGUCCCUGCAAGCUUUUUGUUUGAAGCAAACCUGCAGCAAGUCUGCUGCAGACGUGCUGCAAACAUUUCAGUACGUGAGGGCAUGAUUUUUUUUAAUAGAUAUUAAUUAACAAACCAAUGGAAUAUUCAUUUAAGUUAUGAAUUUUCACUAAAACUUUUACCAUUUAUAGAAUAUGAUCAAUAUAGCGUUAUAUUUUGUUCAACAUUUAUGCUAAUUUUAUAUAACAUGUUUGCACCAAAUUAGGAAUGCACAUACAUAAAUCAGUAUCUAAAGUGUAUUGAAAACAAGUGCCUUUCUUAAAAAAUAAAGCAAUAUGUAAAUCGGAGAAAGCUGUUUGUAAUCACGCUUAGGGGGAAAAGGGGGGGGGAUUUAUAAUUUUCAUGUGAAAUGUGACUCUGUAACAUGCAACUUAUGUAUUUGAGAGGAACACACGAGCUUCCUUAAGUCCUCUUACAUACUGACAAUUUAUUGUGUUUAAAUUCCUAAAACAUCUCAAAUUUAAGGAUUUCCUGAAGUUACUUUAAGCAAUUUAUUUAUGCACAUUAAUCAGACUAUAAUGCAAACUGACUUUGGAAUUUAUAUUGUGAUUGGUCUUUGCUAUUUGCUUUAGACGUCAAGUUUCUUGAAACUGGGAAAUGCAAUAGGAUAAGAACUUUGUAUAUUUAACACGAAGAAAAUGAAAUACACUCCUUAGUAAUAAAUAAGAUAAUAGAUUCAAGGGUAAAUUCAAACGGUAGCUGUUACGGUGUACACAUUUUGUUUUAAAUUUCCACUUAAAUCCAAAAUUGAUUUUAAUUUAAUUUUGCAAAUAUCUACACAAAAAUACGCAUUUCCAAUAACCAUCGGGUCUUUUACCAUCAGCAUGGCCUUAUCUAUUCACAUUAAAAACAUUAAACAAAAAAGCAAUUUUGUUAGUGACCCGCAUUCUUGUUUUCACGAUUUCUUUUAUGAAAGGAACUUAUUUAAGACUGUGACUUGAAAUUCAUCUCUUUACCAUUACACGUGCAUGUCCGUUUAUUUAAAUUUAUAUUUUUGUUGAUAUCGGGUAGUAUGACCAUCGACAGUCUUCAGAGGUCGCAUCGAAGGUUAAUGAAAUGGCGUCUAUUUAUUUUUUUAAAUGCACGAAAUGUUGAUAGAUUAUAACGAGUCCACGUAUUGUUAAACGUUUUUUUUUUAACUUUUGUCAAUUGGACAUACGUUUAAGAAUUUUAUAAUUUAGGUCAAGCCGUUGAUCAUGAUAUCGACAGUUAAUGCCCCUUGAAGUUUUAACGAGUGACGUACUUAUCAACAGAUUUUAAUGAAAUGCUUUCUUUGUAUAAAAUGUACAAUUCAUAAAGCAUUUUAGAAAGUAAAGACUGACUUUAUUAAAAACACUCAGGGUUACCAUAUACGUUCGGUUUGGUCUUCUGUUUGAAAAUGUUUACAUUUAAACUAGUAGGUUUAUUCCAUUCAUAUCAUUUCAAUAAUCGUUUAAUUCCUUAUGUUAGAGCAUUCGUAUAUUGGUUUUCAAUAAAAUAUAAUUUAAUCGCUGAAAGACCCCUCUCCUAAGUUAUUGAAAACUAUCGUUUUGCAUUGACAAAAAUGUUUUGGUGUAAAUGCCCCCAAGGUGUAUCUUUUAUACAUUUUUGCAGUACAAACGCAGUCAAGUUAUUGUGUGAUCAAGUAUAUAUCAACGAUCGAAUAAACAGUUUCAGACAUGAAUGGCAAAGAAAAAGGAGUAAGU
Molecule: long non-coding RNA, 3779 nt
Filed under: Mytilus galloprovincialis (Mediterranean mussel)
Lineage: Eukaryota; Metazoa; Mollusca; Bivalvia; Mytilida; Mytilidae
Source: RNAcentral